GCCGAAGUGGCGGAACAGGCAGACGCGACGGUCUCAAAAACCGUUCCUCGCAAGAGGGUCCGGGUUCGACUCCCGGCUUCGGCACCA
Molecule: transfer RNA, 87 nt
Filed under: Chloroflexota bacterium
Lineage: Bacteria; Bacillati; Chloroflexota
Description: Chloroflexi bacterium tRNA-Leu
Rfam family: tRNA
About the family: Transfer RNA (tRNA) molecules are approximately 80 nucleotides in length. Their secondary structure includes four short double-helical elements and three loops (D, anti-codon, and T loops).
Source: RNAcentral